Molecule: unclassified non-coding RNA, 224 nt
Filed under: uncultured fungus
Lineage: Eukaryota; Fungi
Description: sequence contains ITS1
Source: RNAcentral
UUGCUUUAAUUUAAUCAUAGACUUAGACAUAUGACACGAUUUAUUCAGAGUUUAAGUGGUUGGCUAUCGGCGGACGCUGGCCAGAGGACGCCUUUCAGCGGUCCUCCGGCGGCCGUGAGACGGGUCCGCCGAAGCAACAGAGGUUCAAUAAACAAAGGGUUGGGAGAUCGGGCCUAGAAGACCCUAACUCUUUAAUGAUCCUUCCGCAGGUUCACCUACGGAAA